GAUGAAGAACGUAGCGAAACGCGAUAAGUAAUGUGAAUUGCAGAAUCCAGUGAAUCAUCGAAUCUUUGAACGCACAUUGCGCCCGCCAGCAUUCUGGCGGGCAUGCCUGUUCGAGCUUCAUUUCAACCCUCGACCUCCCCUUGGGGAGGUCGGCGUUGGGGACCGGCAGCACACCGCCGGCCCUGAAAUGGAGUGGCGGCCCGUCCGCGGCGACCUCUGCGCAGUAAUACAGCUCGCACCGGGACCCCGACGCGGCCACGCCGUAAAACACCCAACUUCUGAACGUUGACCUCGAAUCAGGUAGGACUACCCGCUGAACUUAAGCAUAUCAAUAACGGAGGA
RNAcentral lists this unclassified non-coding RNA (342 nucleotides) under soil metagenome. Its description in RNAcentral is "partial contains 5.8S ribosomal RNA, internal transcribed spacer 2, and large subunit ribosomal RNA". The stretch from base 1 to 120 matches the Rfam family "5.8S ribosomal RNA", at positions 35 to 154 of the family's 154-position model. The record is from RNAcentral.